Molecule: ribosomal RNA, 232 nt
Filed under: uncultured bacterium
Lineage: Bacteria
Description: partial 16S ribosomal RNA
Rfam family: Bacterial small subunit ribosomal RNA
Source: RNAcentral
GAGACGCGGUACGGGUAACCCUACCCUCGUAACACAACAGAAUAACACAACGAAAGGUAUGCUAAUACGGGAUAAUAUAUUUGAGAGGCAUCUCUUGAAUAUCAAAGGUGAGCCAGUACAGGAUGGACCCGCGUCUGAUUAGCUAGUUGGUAAGGUAACGGCUUACCAAGGCGACGAUCAGUAGCCGACCUGAGAGGGUGAUCGGCCACAUUGGAACUGAGACACGGUCCAA